GGGAAUGUGGCUUAGUGGUAAAGUGCUUGCCUAGCAUGCAUGAAGCCCUGGGUUUGAUUCCCACAUUAACA
RNAcentral lists this transfer RNA (71 nucleotides) under Dipodomys ordii (Ord's kangaroo rat). It matches the Rfam family "tRNA". From Rfam's summary of the family: Transfer RNA (tRNA) molecules are approximately 80 nucleotides in length. Their secondary structure includes four short double-helical elements and three loops (D, anti-codon, and T loops). Lineage: Eukaryota; Metazoa; Chordata; Mammalia; Rodentia; Heteromyidae. The record is from Rfam by way of RNAcentral.